This 1013-nucleotide long non-coding RNA is filed under the name Scleropages formosus (Asian bonytongue). Its description in RNAcentral is "lncRNA (ENSSFOG00015027303.1)". The record is from RNAcentral. Lineage: Eukaryota; Metazoa; Chordata; Actinopteri; Osteoglossiformes; Osteoglossidae.
UAAAAGUCACGGUUUUCCCAGUUACCUCGGGCUUCCCUCAGCACUGCUGUUGUGCAUACAUUUGUGUUCACACUUGUCUGUACACCUUAUACAGGUGUGUCCAAUGUCUACCUCAGGAGCAGAACAACGGGUUCGAGAUGCACUUGAAUCAAGUGUUUCCUGUCCUCUCUGGCCUUCCCAAGGCCACAGCUCGGGACCCAUAUUAACCUGUGCCAGGGAGAGAACGCACAAUGAAGCCGCAGCGGAGAAAGGGGCUGCCGAAUGAGCAAAUGAUGUUCAACCGAUGUUCCGACAAUCAAUUUGUCACAUGAAGAAAUUAUCCACUGAAACAGAGAACUUUAUUUCUCACACAAAAGAGGAACGAACGUGGUCUGAUCUCUGGACAGCACACUUCAGUCAUUCAAGAGGCUCCAAGGACUGAUACAGCAUCGCCUGAUACCUCAGUCUCAGCCAGUUGGCCAUGUUACAGGCUCACGUCCCCAGCGUCUUGAUAUCGUGUAAUAGAAGGCCUGACCUUGGACAGGAAAGCACCCCGAUGUUCUCCACCAGAGGCAUCUUGUUGAAGCAGACACCCCCACGUGGAUGAGCAGAUGAGACAUUGUAGGUAGAGUAUGAAAGACAUGUCACUUGCUUCACAGCCCAGUGAGAUAUAAUUCCUUACAAAUACGGAGGUGCUUAUUUCCCUCCCUAAAGCCUGUCAAAGAGGGCAAGAUAUCCUUUCCUAUGGGUGUCAUGGGCUAAAUAUUCAAUAUCGUUUUCCCGCAGUGAUCUUAGCGUGUGUAGAGUUUAAAGCUCAGCGGUGGAGAAAGCUGUGUAUGAUGCUAUAUGAAAAAAACCAAGUUUUGCAGGGAAUAGUUUUUGAAGAAAAAUGUUGAAUCUCACCCAGUAGAAGAUGAAGAACAUUUCUGGUCUAUGUCCUUCACUGCAUGACUGAAAAGUUACACUCGGUUGUGUAUUCGCCUCAGUGCAGGAUUUUUUUAUAGGAUAUAAUAGACACUUGCAGCUCCUUCACG